UCGAGAAUCAUUCGCAAUGGGCGAAAGCCUGACGAUGCGACGCCGUGUGAGCGAUGAAGGCCUUAGGGUUGUAAAGCUCUUUCGCUUGGGAACAAGAGAAGCUGAUUAAUACUCAGCGGAUUUGAGGGUACCAGGUAAAGAAGCACCGGCUAACUCCGUGCCAGCAGCUGCGGUAAUACGGAGGGUGCAAGCAUUAAUCGGAUUUAUUGGGCGUAAAGGGCGCGUAGGCGGUAGAAUAAGUCAGAUGUGAAAUCCUGAGGCUCAACCUCAGAACAGCAUUUGAAACUGUUUUACUAGAGGAUAGAAGGAGAAAACGGAAUUCCACAAGUAGCGGUGAAAUGCGUAGAUAUGUGGAAGAACACCGGUGGCGAAGGCGGUUUUCUAUUUUAUUCCUGACGCUAAGGCGCGAAAGCAAGGGGAUCAAACAGGAUUAGAUACCCGGGUAGUCC
This 449-nucleotide ribosomal RNA is filed under the name uncultured bacterium. RNAcentral describes it as "bacterial SSU rRNA". It matches the Rfam family "Bacterial small subunit ribosomal RNA", at positions 355 to 796 of the family's 1533-position model. The record is from RNAcentral.